CCUACGGGUGGCUGCAGCAAGGAAUCUUCCGCAAUGGGCGACAGCCUGACGGAGCAACGCCGCGUGCGGGAUGACGCCCUUCGGGGUGUAAACCGCUUUUCUCUCGGAAGAACACCCCGCGAGGGGUCUGACGGUACGGGAGGAAGAAGGACCGGCUAACUACGUGCCAGCAGCCGCGGUAAUACGUAGGGUCCGAGCGUUGUCCGGAGUUACUGGGCGUAAAGCGCGCGCAGGCGGCGGUGUUGGCCCGGCGUGAAAGCCCCCGGCUCAACCGG
RNAcentral lists this ribosomal RNA (275 nucleotides) under uncultured bacterium. Its description in RNAcentral is "partial 16S ribosomal RNA". It matches the Rfam family "Bacterial small subunit ribosomal RNA", at positions 338 to 616 of the family's 1533-position model. The record is from RNAcentral.